CAAAAAUUGGGUUCCUCCUUCAAUUGUCACUGAUUCUUCUUCUGGUUGGUUUUGUUUUGUAGGAACAGAAUAGAUGAUGAAUGCCAUGGAGGAAUGGAAACCUGGAUUGUUUGGAUUUUGAGGGGUUGCUGCUGGAGAGGAGGAAGCCAUAAGAUAGCAAACCCCCUAGAUCUGGUUAUUUUGUUUGGUUUUAUCUCACAGGGGUUGUUGCUGGAGAGGAGGAAGCCAUGAGAUAGCAAACCCCCUAGAUCUAGCUACUUUCACAUUUUGAAAAGGCACUUUGUUCAAAUGUGUGUGCUGAUGUUCACCAUUAAGCCCAUGGCAGACCACCACUCAGUUUUAUCAAAUUGAUAGGUGCGCUGCUCAGUUUCGUGAACUGAGCGGUGCAAAGGCAGGCCACCACUCAGUUCCGUGAGCUGGGAGGUGCACUGCUCAGUUCCGUGAGCUGAGCGGUGCAAUGGCAGGCCACUGUCAGUUCCCAAAACUGAGAGGUGCAAAGCUAUGUGCUUAAUGGCGAACAUCUCACUUAAUGGAACUAUGCAGCUCCGAGAUAUACAUACUAUAUAAGUCGGCGGAAACUAUUGAA
Long non-coding RNA from Papaver somniferum (opium poppy), 586 nucleotides. RefSeq lists it as uncharacterized. The record is from RefSeq and is a predicted model, not a curated record. Lineage: Eukaryota; Viridiplantae; Streptophyta; Magnoliopsida; Ranunculales; Papaveraceae. The transcript has 3 exons.